This is a non-coding RNA of Budorcas taxicolor (takin), 68 nucleotides long. NCBI's taxonomy places the organism in Eukaryota, Metazoa, Chordata, Mammalia, Artiodactyla, Bovidae. The record is from the annotation of a RefSeq genome assembly.
GGUAAAAUGGCUGAGUAAAGCAAUAGACUGUAAAUCUAAGAAUAGAGGUUUGAUUCCUCUUUUUACCA